UACGAAGGGGGCUAGCGUUGCUCGGAAUCACUGGGCGUAAAGCGCACGUAGGCGGCUUCUUAAGUCAGGGGUGAAAUCCUGGAGCUCAACUCCAGAGCUGCCUUUGAUACUGAGAAGCUUGAGUCCGGGAGAGGUGAGUGGAACUGCGAGUGUAGAGGUGAAAUUCGUAGAUAUCCGCAAGAACACCAGUGGCGAAGGCGGCUCACUGGCCCGGUACUGACGCUGAGGUGCGAAAGCGUGGGGAGCAAACAGG
Molecule: ribosomal RNA, 253 nt
Filed under: uncultured bacterium
Lineage: Bacteria
Description: partial 16S ribosomal RNA
Rfam family: Bacterial small subunit ribosomal RNA
Source: RNAcentral